RNAcentral lists this non-coding RNA (23 nucleotides) under Arabidopsis thaliana (thale cress). The record is from RNAcentral. Lineage: Eukaryota; Viridiplantae; Streptophyta; Magnoliopsida; Brassicales; Brassicaceae.
UAUUGUAUGAGGUUUACCCAAUA